CAAUCAAGUGUCUUAAGGGCAUUUGGUGGAUGCCUUGGCGCUGAGAGGCGAUGAAGGACGUACUACGCUGCGAUAAGCCGCGGGGAGCUGCGAAGAAGCUUUGAUCCGCGGAUUUCCGAAUGGGGAAACCCACCUUCGAGGCCGGAAUUCAGGGUUCAGGAAUUAGGAGUCAGGACCUCUCGUCCUGACGCCCGACCCCUGAUUUCCGGCUUCAAAAGAAGGUAUGAGACUUCCGAAUAAAAUAGGGGGUUUCAAGCAAACCCAGGGAACUGAAACAUCUCAGUACCUGGAGGAAAGGACAUCAACCGAGACUCCGCUAGUAGUGGCGAGCGAACGCGGACUAGGCCAGUGGCAAUCUCAAGACAACCGGAAGCGUUUGGAAAAAUGCGCCGCAGCGGGUGACAGCCCCGUACGGGUAAUGCGAGAGAUUGUCCUUGAGUAAGGCGGGACACGUGAAAUCCUGUCUGAACAUGGGGGGACCACCCUCCAAGCCUAAGUACUCCUCAGCGACCGAUAGCGAACCAGUACCGUGAGGGAAAGGUGAAAAGCACCCCGACGAGGGGAGUGAAAGAGACCUGAAACCGAAUGCCUACAAACAGAUGGAGCUCAAGGUUCGUCCUGGGUGACAUCGUACCUUUUGUAUAAUGGGCCAGCGACUUAAUCUGACGAGCAAGCUUAAGCCGAUAGGCGGAGGCGCAGCGAAAGCGAGUCUGAACAGGGCGUUCAGUUCGUCGGAUUAGACCCGAAACCUAGUGAUCUAGCCAUGACCAGGCUGAAGGUGGGGUAACACCCACUGGAGGGCCGAACCGGUGUCUGUUGAAAAAGCCUCGGAUGAGUUGUGGCUAGGGGUGAAAGGCCAAUCAAACUAGGAAAUAGCUGGUUCUCCGCGAAAGCUAUUUAGGUAGCGCCUCGCGUGAAUGCUUCGGGGGGUAGAGCACUGGAUGGGCUAGGGGGGCUUACCGCCUUACCAAACCUAACCAAACUCCGAAUACCCGAAAGCAAUGCGCGGGAGACACACGGCGGGUGCUAACGUUCGUCGUGGAGAGGGAAAAAACCCUGACCUACAGCUAAGGCCCCUAAUUCGUGGCUAAGUGGGAAAGGAUGUUGGAAUGCCAAAACAACCAGGAGGUUGGCUUAGAAGCAGCCAUCCUUUAAAGAAAGCGUAACAGCUCACUGGUCUAAACAAGCGUUCCGGCGCCGAAAAUGUAACGGGGCUCAAGCCACGAGCCGAAGCUUAGGGUUCGGAGGACAGUAGACAGACGACAGAGGACGGAUGGAGACCAAGCGACGCAAACGAGUCGUUUCGUUCGAAGACUUGGAAGUCUUUCAACGAGCGUAUCGAAUGUCGCUUGAAAUCCAUCAGCGAAGCUUGACGUUUCCGCCGAUCGAACAACGUGUGUUGGCCGAUCAGUUGCGUCGGGCGAGCAAGUCCAUCUGCGCGAAUGUCGCUGAAGGCUACGGUCGUCAGAAGCGAUCGAAGGCGGAAUUCAAACGCUUUCUGCAAAUGGCGAUCGGUUCGAGCGAUGAGAUGCGAGUUUGGGUGCGCUAUGCGCUCGAUCUCGGAUACAUCGACGAAGCCGUCUGGAGACGGUGGCGUGACGAAUAUCAGAUGAUCUCCCGCAUGCUGCAGAGCUUGGCCGGUAAGGCUGAGUGAGCAACGCGGUACCUUGUCUGUCGUCCGUCGUCUGUCUUCUGUCCUCCGAGCGGUAGCGGAGCGUUCCGUAAGCCUGCGAAGGCGGACCUGCGAGGGCCGCUGGAGGUAUCGGAAGUGCGAAUGCUGGCACGAGUAACGACAAACAGUGUGAAAGACACUG
Molecule: ribosomal RNA, 1814 nt
Filed under: Hyphomicrobiales bacterium
Lineage: Bacteria; Pseudomonadati; Pseudomonadota; Alphaproteobacteria; Hyphomicrobiales
Description: Rhizobiales bacterium partial 23S ribosomal RNA
Rfam family: Bacterial large subunit ribosomal RNA
Source: RNAcentral